This 245-nucleotide ribosomal RNA is filed under the name uncultured bacterium. RNAcentral describes it as "partial 16S ribosomal RNA". It matches the Rfam family "Bacterial small subunit ribosomal RNA", at positions 524 to 767 of the family's 1533-position model. The record is from RNAcentral.
UACGUAGGCAGCAAGCGUUGUUCGGAAUUACUGGGCGUAAAGAGUGUGUAGGCGGCUGUCCCAGUCUGGUGUGAAAUCUCCCGGCUUAACCGGGAGGGAGCGCCGGAAACUAGGCAGCUCGAGCGUGGGAGAGGAAAGCGGAAUUCCUGGUGUAGCGGUGAAAUGCGUAGAGAUCAGGAGGAACACCUGCGGUGUAGACGGCUUUCUGGACCACCUGCUGACGCUGAGACACGAAAGCGUGGGUA